Molecule: ribosomal RNA, 385 nt
Filed under: Scinax strigilatus
Lineage: Eukaryota; Metazoa; Chordata; Amphibia; Anura; Hylidae
Description: partial 12S ribosomal RNA
Rfam family: Bacterial small subunit ribosomal RNA
Source: RNAcentral
CUUUAACUUACAUUCACAUCGCCCGGGAACUACGAGCUAAGCUUAAAACCCAAGGGACUUGACGGUACCCCACAUCCACCUAGAGGAGCCUGUCCUAUAAUCGAUAAUCCCCGUUUAACCUCACCACUCUUAGCCUAUCAGCCUGUAUACCUCCGUCGUCAGCUUACCACGUGAGCGACUCCAGUGAGCUUGAUGUCUACUCGUCAAAACGUCAGGUCAAGGUGCAGCUUAUAGAGCGGGAAGAGAUGGGCUACACUCUCUAACCUAGAAAACACGAAAGACUAUUUAUGAAACCUAGUCGGAAGGCGGAUUUAGUAGUAAAAAGAGACAAGAAAGCUCUUUUUAACAAGGCACUGGGGUGUGUACACACCGCCCGUCACCCCCU